GACGAACGCUGGCGGCGUGCUUAACACAUGCAAGUCGAACGGUGAAGCACCUUCCUUUUGGUGGGUGUGGAUGAGUGGCGAACGGGUGAGUAACACGUGAGUAACCUGCCCCCUUCUUCUGGAUAACCGCAUGAAAGUGUGGCUAAUACGGGAUAUUCUGGGUCUGUCGCAUGGCGGGCCUGGGAAAGAUAUUGUUUCGGUGGGGGAUGGGCUCGCGGUCUAUCAGGUUGUUGGUGGGGUGAUGGCCUACCAAGGCGGUGACGGUUAGCCGGCCUGAGGGGGUGGACGGUCACACUGGGACUGAGACACGGCCCAGACUCCUACGGGAGGCAGCAGUGGGGAAUAUUGCACAAUGGGCGCAAUCCUGAUGCAGCGACGCCGCGUGAGUGAUGGAGGCCUUCGGGUUGUAAACCUCUUUCGCCAGUGAAGCAGGCCUGUCCCUUUUGUGGGUGGGUUGACGGUAGCUGGAUAAGAAGCGCCGGCUAACUACGUG
RNAcentral lists this ribosomal RNA (493 nucleotides) under uncultured bacterium. RNAcentral describes it as "partial 16S ribosomal RNA". It matches the Rfam family "Bacterial small subunit ribosomal RNA", at positions 28 to 507 of the family's 1533-position model. The record is from RNAcentral.